RNAcentral lists this ribosomal RNA (301 nucleotides) under uncultured bacterium. Its description in RNAcentral is "partial 16S ribosomal RNA". It matches the Rfam family "Bacterial small subunit ribosomal RNA", at positions 512 to 810 of the family's 1533-position model. The record is from RNAcentral.
CAGCCGCGGGAAUACGUAGGGUGCAAGCGUUAAUCGGAAUUACUGGGCGUAAAGCGUGCGCAGGCGGUUAUAUAAGACAGAUGUGAAAUCCCCGGGCUCAACCUGGGAACUGCAUUUGUGACUGUAUAGCUAGAGUACGGCAGAGGGGGAUGGAAUUCCGCGUGUAGCAGUGAAAUGCGUAGAUAUGCGGAGGAACACCGAUGGCGAAGGCAAUCCCCUGGGCCUGUACUGACGCUCAUGCACGAAAGCGUGGGGAGCAAACAGGAUUAGAUACCCCUGUAGUCCCUGUCUCUUAUACACA